GGGCGCCAUGGCGGGCUCUGUGUCCGCUGAAGUUCCCUCUGACCUGGGCCUACUCUGCCUGUUCUUUGUUUGGAAAUAGGGUCUCACCGUCCCACUCAGCCAGGCCUUAAGCUCCUAGGACCCAGCCUCCUCCUGCCCUAGCCUCCUGGGGAGCUGGGUUGUGUCUUUUGUGUUUGGAGACAGUUUUUUUUUUUUUUUUUGUGGUUUCGCUCUGUGUAGCCCUGGCUGUUCUGGGCCUCACUCUGUAGACCAGGCUGGCCUUGAACUCACAGAGAUCUGCCCCCCAAGCGCUGGGAUUAAAGGUGUGCACUACCUGACAUGCAUAAUUUUUGUGAGGCAACAACCUGUGGUAUAUUCUGUAGAAGGCCCAGGGCCCCGGUGCGGAGAGAUCCUUUUGUCUCCUUGGCAGCCGGACUAUGGAUUUGUGGGACACUCGGUCCCAUGAUCUCAUCUCCGUGGCCCAUUUCAUAGUAUUAGCAUAUGGCCUGUUUGUUGUACAUGAAGGGACCAUCUCUAAAUAGACAAACAAAUAAACACCAUACUUGGAUAAAGAAGCAAAAUCGGGGUUGGGGAUUUAGCUCAGCGGUAGAGCGCUUGCCUAGCGAGCGCAAGGCCCUGGGUUCGGUCCCCAGCUCCGAAAAAAAGAACCAAAAAAAAAAAAAAAAA
Molecule: long non-coding RNA, 666 nt
Filed under: Rattus norvegicus (Norway rat)
Lineage: Eukaryota; Metazoa; Chordata; Mammalia; Rodentia; Muridae
Description: long non-coding RNA NONRATT014389
Source: RNAcentral